UACAGAGGUCUCAAGCGUUGUUCGGAUUCAUUGGGCGUAAAGGGUGCGUAGGUGGGUUGGUAAGUCAGUGGUGAAAUCCCCGAGCUUAACUUGGGAACUGCCAUUGAUACUAUCAGUCUUGAAUACCGUGGAGGUCAGCGGAAUAUGUCAUGUAGCGGUGAAAUGCUUAGAUAUGACAUAGAACACCAAUUGCGAAGGCAGCUGGCUACACGGAUAUUGACACUGAGGCACGAAAGCGUGGGGAUCAAACAGG
Molecule: ribosomal RNA, 253 nt
Filed under: uncultured bacterium
Lineage: Bacteria
Description: partial 16S ribosomal RNA
Rfam family: Bacterial small subunit ribosomal RNA
Source: RNAcentral